This is an RNA transcript of Globicephala melas (long-finned pilot whale), 4896 nucleotides long. It is a transcript of the gene named component of inhibitor of nuclear factor kappa B kinase complex, with no coding region annotated. NCBI's taxonomy places the organism in Eukaryota, Metazoa, Chordata, Mammalia, Artiodactyla, Delphinidae. The record is from RefSeq and is a predicted model, not a curated record.
GCAGCCCGGAACCGGCCUCGGAACAGUGGCGGGACCUGAGGACUCUAGCCCUCCCGCCCCAUGGAGCGGCCCCCGGGGCUGCGGCCGGGCGCGGGCGGGCCCUGGGAGAUGCGGGAGCGGCUGGGCACCGGCGGCUUCGGGAAUGUUUCCCUGUACCAACAUCGGGAACUUGAUCUCAAAAUAGCAAUUAAGUCUUGUCGCUUGGAGCUAAGCACCAAAAACAGAGAACGGUGGUGCCAUGAAAUCCAGAUCAUGAAGAAGUUGAACCACGCCAAUGUUGUAAAAGCCUGUGAUGUUCCUGAGGAAUUGAAUUUUUUGAUUAAUGAUGUGCCUCUUCUAGCAAUGGAAUAUUGUUCUGGAGGAGAUCUCCGGAAGCUACUCAACAAACCAGAAAAUUGCUGUGGACUUAAAGAAAGCCAGAUACUUUCUUUACUGAGUGAUAUAGGAUCUGGGAUACGAUAUUUGCAUGAAAACAAAAUUAUACAUCGUGAUCUAAAACCUGAAAACAUAGUUCUUCAGGAUGUUGGUGGAAAGAUUAUGCAUAAAAUAAUUGAUUUAGGAUAUGCCAAAGAUGUUGAUCAAGGAAGUCUGUGUACAUCUUUUGUGGGAACAUUGCAAUAUCUGGCCCCAGAGCUCUUUGAGAAUAAGCCUUACACAGCCACUGUUGAUUAUUGGAGCUUUGGGACCAUGGUGUUUGAGUGUAUUGCUGGGUAUAGGCCUUUUUUGCAUCAUCUGCAGCCAUUUACCUGGCAUGAGAAGAUUAAGAAGAAGGAUCCAAAGUGUAUAUUUGCAUGCGAAGAGAUGACAGGAGAAGUUCGGUUUAGUAGCCAUUUACCUCAACCAAAUAGCCUUUGUAGUUUAAUAGUAGAACCCAUGGAAAACUGGCUACAGUUGAUGCUAAACUGGGAUCCUCAGCAGAGAGGAGGACCUAUUGAUCUUACUUUGAAGCAGCCAAGAUGUUUUGUAUUAAUGGAUCACAUUCUGAAUUUGAAGAUAGUACACAUCCUAAAUAUGACUUCUGCAAAGAUCAUUUCUUUUCUGUUACCACCUGAUGAAAGUCUUCAUUCACUACAGUCUCGUAUUGAGCGUGAAACUGGAAUAAAUACUUGUUCUCAAGAGCUUCUUUCAGAGACGGGAAUUUCUUUGGAUCCUCGGAAACCAGCCUCUCAGUGUGUUUUGGAUGGAGUUAGGGGCUGUGAUAGCUAUAUGGUUUAUUUGUUUGAUAAAAGUAAGACUGUAUAUGAAGGACCAUUUGCUUCCAGAAGUUUAUCUGACUGUGUAAAUUAUAUUGUACAGGACAGCAAAAUACAGCUUCCAAUUAUACAGCUGCGUAAAGUAUGGGCCGAAGCAGUGCACUAUGUGUCUGGGCUAAAAGAAGACUACAGCAGGCUCUUUCAGGGACAGAGAGCAGCAAUGUUAAGUCUUCUUAGAUAUAAUGCUAACUUGACAAAAAUGAAGAACACUUUAAUCUCAGCAUCUCAGCAACUGAAAGCUAAAUUGGAGUUUUUUCACAAAAGCAUUCAGCUUGACUUGGAAAGAUACAGUGAGCAGAUGACUUAUGGGAUAUCCUCAGAAAAAAUGUUAAAAGCAUGGAAAGAAAUGGAAGAAAAGGCUAUCCACUAUGCUGAGGUGGGUGUCAUUGGAUACCUGGAGGAUCAGAUCAUGUCCCUGCACACUGAAAUCAUGGAGCUACAGAAGAGCCCCUAUGGACGACGUCAGGGAGACUUGAUGGAAUCUCUGGAACAGCGUGCCAUUGAUCUAUAUAAGCAGUUAAAGCACAGACCUUCAGAUCACUCCUACAGCGACAGCACGGAGAUGGUGAAAAUCAUUGUGCAUACUGUGCAGAGUCAGGAUCGGGUUCUCAAGGAGCUGUUCGGUCAUUUGAGCAAGUUGUUGGGCUGUAAGCAGAAGAUUAUUGAUCUACUGCCCAAGGUGGAAAUGGCCCUCAGUAACAUCAAAGAAGCUGACAAUACUGUCAUGUUUAUGCAGGGAAAGAGGCAGAAAGAAAUAUGGCAUCUCCUUAAAAUUGCCUGUACACAGAGCUCUGCUCGGUCCCUUGUAGGAUCCAGUCUAGAAGGUGUAACCCCUCAGGCAUCAGCAUGGCUGCCCACAACUUCAGCAGAACGUGAACAUCCUCUGUCAUGCGUGGUAACUCCUCAAGAUGGCAUAAGAUGUGCCGUAUCCAGAGCCAUUGGCUCUUUGCUAGCUUGUGUAUUGUCACUUUUCUCACAACUCAUGGAGACCUCUACAAUACCAGCAUUUCCUGGAAGCUCUGCCCAUAAUUAGUUUUGCAGAGGUGCAGCCAUGUAACAUCACUGCUCAGGAGGUCAUGCAGUUGCACAUUCUGUACUCUGCUUUUAUGAGAGAAAAGCACAUGGCAGGAAGGCAAGCUGAUACCAGGUAUUUUAUCUUCUUAAAGAAAGCAAGCUCCAGGGUAUAUCUCGGGGCCAUUAUACAUUUGGCCCAAUGUAAUACAUCCACAGCUACAGCAUAGGCUAUAAUUAAUUAUAUGGACUUGAGGAAAUAUUCCAUUAAUCAGAAUUGACACAAAUAAAAUUUAAUACCUUUUUGCUUUCAUUAAAGGCAUGUAGGUUUAUUAGGGGAUGCAAAUGGUUGCAAAUGUUACCUCUGUACAAGUGAUUUUCAGUGUGAGGUUGUGGUUGUUUGCAAAAGUAUAUUCAACAGGAAUUUUUAAAUACAUUUUCCAGUAGGAAUACAUUAUAAAGGAAAACUUCAAAUGUACCCGCGGUACUUAACCACCAAGGAUUGGGAACUGUUGGCCUCAGUUUUUCUAUCUGUUGAAUAAGCUGAAUGAGAAUUUAGUUCUAAGCUAAUAAUGACUAUCUUCCAUGGCUUAGAACUGAUUCUAGUCGGGUAGGGACUGAGGGUUAGUAAAAGGUAAGGAUGGAGGCCAUAUGGAAGAGGGAAGUGUAGAAGGUGGAAACCAAAUUCAGGAUUUCCUUCAAAUACAAACUUCAGGGAUACUUCUUGGUUCUGGGCAGCUCCCCUGUCACAGGUUUCUUCUGCUGUCCUCAGGAAUCAGCUUGCUUGUUUGCUUUCUCAUUGCUGUCAUCUGUAUUUUCCAAACAGUUUUUUUCACCUUCCCUGAUAUUUGCAGAAAAGAUUGUACUUUUGUAUCUCCUCCCCUACAUGUGUAUCUCUGAAGUAAGCAUGCUGAUGUUUUUUACUACUUAUAAGGAAAGGGAAAUGUUUCAGAAACAAAGAGAUCUUUCAUCUAGCUGUGCCACAGGAUCUCUCUUUUUUUCCCCCCAGUGAGCAUUUUCAGGGGGAAAAAGUUGUAUAUAAGUGCCACUUAUAUUUCAGAGGAAAAUCAGAUUGCAGUUAUAGUGGACUCACUAUUAUUAGAGCUGGGCAGAGGCAGCAGCUUGGAGUAACAGGACUCUUGCCUGUGGGUGGGAGGGAUGAGGAAACUGAAGACUACAGGAAUCAGCUGCAUUGGGUUGCAGGGUUGCAGUGUUGUCUGAAGGGCAGAAUCAUCCUGACCCUGAAGACCAGAAAAUAGAGGAAAUUCGUAUGCCUCUUUGCUUUCAUUCCACAGGGAGACUUUAGCACAAAUAAUAGAAGAAAAUUUGAACUGUCUUGGCCAUUUAAGCACUAUUAUGCAUGAAGCAAAUGAGAAACAGGGCAACAGUAUGAUGAAUCUUGAUUGGAGUUGGUUAACAGAAUGACUUGCCACUUACUGACCCAAACGUAUGAAGUUGUUGCUGCAAAUGUUGGAAAUUUGUUUUUCUCUUAUGAAACCAUUCUUCAGACACCCAUCAAUGGAAGAAAUGACUAUGAUCAGAAACUACACAUGAUUUCACAGUGCAAUAUUUUGACUGGGUAAUUUUAACCUCUGAACAGAUAGAAUUUAAUGACUCAGUGGACUUGUUUAAAUACUACAGCUACUUAGGAGCAUCGUUGGAAUCCAUUUGUCUUCAAACUUGAUAAAACAUUACUUAUUUAACUUGACUAUCUUUCAACAUUUCACUUUUGGGCAUAAGGCCAAAGUAAUGUAUACAGAGAAGAAAAUCUCAACUAACAUGUAUUCUAAGUAAAAAUUGUUUGCCUGUGUUUCUGUGGAAGAGACUGUUUGCAAGUAGAAUUGUACUUCUUGAAGAAUAAACCCUACCUCCUUGUGUUGCACUCAACAGUGCUUUUCCCGGCAUCAUAAGGAGUUAGUUUAAUCCCAUUUUCAAUUUCAAUCCCAAAUGCACAUUUGACUGUAUCCCUUUCCUACAGAAGGGAUUGUGCAUCUGUGCCUUUAAUACCAGUUGAUUCUUUCAAAUCUUGUUAAGUGUGCUAUGUGUAUAUGUAUUUAAGAUGUACAUUUAAUAAUAUCAGAGAAAAGAUGCCUGUUAAUUUAUAAUGUAUUUGAAAGCUUAUCUAUGUUUUCAUUUGUAUAAAUGGGUCUUUUGUUUAAGGAAUCUUUCAUGUCUUGUCAUAUAAAUUUAUAAAGGUCUGUACUCCCGAUCUGUAAUUCCAAAAUGCAAAAAGCUCUGAUAACAAGGUUUUUCAUAAGUUUGGUGACAGAAUUCACCUGCUUGCACAUCCAACAUGAACUGACAUUGAAUCUAUCCCAUUUAGUGUGAAUAUUCUUUUUUUUUUUUUUUUUUGCUGUAGAAAUAUUAAUGUGUUUGCUUGUUUGGGGGUAGGGUGCUGCCACAGACCCUGCCUGGGGUUUAUGUAGUAUGGCAUAUGCACUGAAUUACCUUUCUAAAAAUCUGAAAAUUUCAUAAUUCUGAAACACCUGGCCCCAAGGGUUUCAGAUAAAGGAUUGUGGGUCUAUCAUCUGUUAAAUAAUUUAGAAGGUGUUACUUGUUUAAAGAAAAAUGUGAAAUUCUUUUGUAUUUUAGACAGUUUUUCACUUUGUGUAUUAAAUAAUUUUUAAAUUAC